Long non-coding RNA from Sapajus apella (tufted capuchin), 283 nucleotides. RefSeq lists it as uncharacterized. The record is from RefSeq and is a predicted model, not a curated record. The transcript has 3 exons. Lineage: Eukaryota; Metazoa; Chordata; Mammalia; Primates; Cebidae.
UCUGUUCCUGAGUUAAUUUUUCCUGGACCAAACUGAGGGCCGAGCUGCUAUUUCUCAUGGCCCAAUAACGAGAUGCAGAUGAACUGAGGAGGAAGAGGUGUUUAUUUCUAGAGCCGGUUAGAGGGAGAAGUCCUGGAAAUUAAUUGCCAGACCAACUCCAAAUUACAAAGUUUUCCAGAGCUUGUAUACCUUCUAAGCUAUACGUCUAUGUGUAAGUGUGCCUUCAUCCAAAGACAUAAGUGAUUAACUUCUUUUAAUCUAUAGCUGAGGUCUGAGUCCUGAA